RNAcentral lists this ribosomal RNA (460 nucleotides) under uncultured bacterium. RNAcentral's name for it is "partial 16S ribosomal RNA". It matches the Rfam family "Bacterial small subunit ribosomal RNA", at positions 338 to 795 of the family's 1533-position model. The record is from RNAcentral.
CCUACGGGUGGCAGCAGUGAGGAAUAUUGGUCAAUGGGCGCAAGCCUGAACCAGCCAAGUCGCGUGAGGGAUGACGGUCCUACGGAUUGUAAACCUCUUUUGCCGGGGAGCAAGCGUGCGUUCGUGAACGCACGUCGAGAGUACCCGGAGAAAAAGCAUCGACUAACUCCGUGCCAGCAGCCGCGGUAAUACGGAGGAUGCGAGCGUUAUCCGGAUUUAUGGGGUUUAAAGGGUGCGUAGGCGGGAUGCCAAGUCAGCGGUAAAAGUGCGGUGCUCAACGGCGACGAGCCUUUGAGACUGGCGUUCUUGAGUGGGCGAGAAGGAGGCGGAAUGCGUGGUGUAGCGGUGAAAUGCAUAGAGAUCACGCAGAAUUCCGAUUGCGAAGGCAGCAUACCGGCGCCCUACUGACGCUGAGGCACGAAAGCGUGGGUAGCGAACAGGAUUAGAUACCCUGGUAGUC